Molecule: non-coding RNA, 72 nt
Organism: Paramuricea clavata
Lineage: Eukaryota; Metazoa; Cnidaria; Anthozoa; Malacalcyonacea; Plexauridae
Source: the annotation of a GenBank genome assembly
UACAGGGUGGCGCAGUGGAAGCGUGCUGGGCCCAUAACCCAGAGGUCUAUGGAUCGAGACCAUUCCCCGCUA